RNAcentral lists this ribosomal RNA (422 nucleotides) under uncultured Bacteroidales bacterium. RNAcentral describes it as "partial 16S ribosomal RNA". It matches the Rfam family "Bacterial small subunit ribosomal RNA", at positions 355 to 774 of the family's 1533-position model. Lineage: Bacteria; Pseudomonadati; Bacteroidota; Bacteroidia; Bacteroidales. The record is from RNAcentral.
UGAGGAAUAUUGGUCAAUGGACGGAAGUCUGAACCAGCCAAGUCGCGUGAAGGAAGACGGCCUUAUGGGUUGUAAACUUCUUUUAUUUGGGAAUAAAGUUUGCCACGUGUGGUAAUUUGUAUGUACCGAAUGAAUAAGCAUCGGCUAACUCCGUGCCAGCAGCCGCGGUAAUACGGAGGAUGCGAGCGUUAUCCGGAUUUAUUGGGUUUAAAGGGUGUGUAGGCGGUUUAUCAAGUCAGUGGUGAAAGUUUGGGGCUUAACCUCGAAAUUGCCAUUGAAACUGAUAGACUUGAGUACAGUGGAGGUAGGCGGAAUUCGUAGUGUAGCGGUGAAAUGCUUAGAUAUUACGAAGAACUCCGAUUGCGAAGGCAGCUUACUAUACUGUUACUGACGCUGAGACACGAAGGCGUGGGUAUCAAACA